AGUGAACGCUGGCGGUAGGCCUAACACAUGCAAGUCGAACGGCAGCACAGUAAGAGCUUGCUCUUACGGGUGGCGAGUGGCGGACGGGUGAGGAAUACAUCGGAAUCUACUUUUUCGUGGGGGAUAACGUAGGGAAACUUACGCUAAUACCGCAUACGACCUACGGGUGAAAGCAGGGGAUCUUCGGACCUUGCGCGAUUGAAUGAGCCGAUGUCGGAUUAGCUAGUUGGCGGGGUAAAGGCCCACCAAGGCGACGAUCCGUAGCUGGUCUGAGAGGAUGAUCAGCCACACUGGAACUGAGACACGGUCCAGACUCCUACGGGAGGCAGCAGUGGGGAAUAUUGGACAAUGGGCGCAAGCCUGAUCCAGCCACACCGCGUGGGUGAAGAAGGCCUUCGGGUUGUAAAGCCCUUUUGUUGGGAAAGAAAAGCAGCAGGUGAAUACCCCGCUGUUCUGACGGUACCCAAAGAAUAAGCACCGGCUAACUUCGUG
This 492-nucleotide ribosomal RNA is filed under the name uncultured bacterium. Its description in RNAcentral is "partial 16S ribosomal RNA". It matches the Rfam family "Bacterial small subunit ribosomal RNA", at positions 29 to 507 of the family's 1533-position model. The record is from RNAcentral.